Macadamia integrifolia is the source of this 668-nucleotide long non-coding RNA. RefSeq lists it as uncharacterized. NCBI's taxonomy places the organism in Eukaryota, Viridiplantae, Streptophyta, Magnoliopsida, Proteales, Proteaceae. The record is from RefSeq and is a predicted model, not a curated record. The transcript has 5 exons.
UCACCCUUUAGUAAGAGGAAGAAAGGAGAACGAAGAAGAAGAAGUAGAGAGGAGAAGAAGAGAAGGGAAGAGAGAGAAAUUACGGUAGAGAUCGAUUUGCUUGGGAGAUUGCUAGAGGAUUCAGGAAAAAAGAAUCCCAGAUAGCCGUGACAGAGAUUCCUCAGCAUUAGGAGAGAUUGUGGGCCCUGAUAUUCACUGUGAGUGGUAAGAGGAAGAAAAGAGAACGAAGAAAAAGAAGAAGAAGAGAGGACAAGAAGAGAAGGGAAGAGGGAGAAAUUACGGUAGAGAUCGACUUGCUUGGGAGAUUGCUAGAGGAUUCAACAAAAAGGAAUCACAGAUAGCCAUGAGAGAGAUUCCUCAGCACCAAGAGAGAUUGUGGGCCCUGAUAUUCACUGUAUCGUCGUACCGAUGGGAUGUGACUCUACCUCCUCACCCGAGUACGGAGUGACCAACUGGUGGCGGCUAUAAGCAGAAGAGCAUGACUAGGACUGUGCAUGCGACACCUGUGCUGAUGCUACACCUUGAGUGAUUGGGUGUCAUUUUUUGUUAUUUUAAUACCGAAUUAUGAAUAUUAUAUUUUUGGGCUUAUUAUUUAUAAGUCGUGGAUAAUUGUAAUGGAAUAAUUUGGUUACUUAUAUAUGAUAUCAUUGGAUGUUUUCCCAUUUUAA